GGGGAUGUAGCUCAGUGACACAGCACUUACCUAAUGCAUACAAGGUCCUGGGUUCAAUCCCCAGCACCCCUC
This 72-nucleotide transfer RNA is filed under the name Heterocephalus glaber (naked mole-rat). It matches the Rfam family "tRNA". From Rfam's summary of the family: Transfer RNA (tRNA) molecules are approximately 80 nucleotides in length. The record is from Rfam by way of RNAcentral. Lineage: Eukaryota; Metazoa; Chordata; Mammalia; Rodentia; Bathyergidae.